ACGCUCGACACCUACGGGAGGCGGCAGUGGGGAAUAUUGCACAAUGGGGGAAACCCUGAUGCAGCGAUGCCGCGUGAAGGAAGAAGUAUCUCGGUAUGUAAACUUCUAUCAGCAGGGAAGAAAAUGACGGUACCUGACUAAGAAGCCCCGGCUAACUACGUGCCGGCAGCCGCGGUAAUCUGAGCGGGCUGGCAAGGC
RNAcentral lists this ribosomal RNA (198 nucleotides) under uncultured bacterium. RNAcentral describes it as "partial 16S ribosomal RNA". It matches the Rfam family "Bacterial small subunit ribosomal RNA", at positions 328 to 539 of the family's 1533-position model. The record is from RNAcentral.